UUUUUUUUACAGCUGAGGAUGAGUUGGUACCCAACACAUCAAUACAAAGGUGCUAUGUUCUAGGUUUCAGCCUGUCUAUAGCGUUUUGGAGAAGAGUUUCCUUUUCCUAAAAUUCAUCUGAAUAAAUACAAAAUAACUCUCCCAUUAGACCCGCAUGAUUUGAAAUUAUCUUUUUCUGCAUCGUCUGCCCUACUGCUUGUUUCCUAAAAGCCAUGCUUAAUGAAUACUUUCUUAGUCCUCUUCUCUUCCCCCUUCAUACAUUCUUCCCGAGGGACGUUCUCGCCUCCUAUGGCUUCACCUCCCACCCUGAGACUGAUGGCGCCAAAUCCAUGUUUCCAUUGGCAACCGCACUCCUCCACCAUCUUGAUGCACGCCGUCUGGGAAUCUGUCUUCGCUGGGAAGACUGGGAAGGCCGACAAAAGGCACAAACCUAACCUGUUUAAAAAGGAACUCUUUUACCUCCCUUCACCUCCAACGUUCCUCCUGAGAUUCCUCAUUUCAGUCAAUGGCAUCAGCAUGUAGGUUAGACUCAUGAGUUGUAACUGGAUGGUCUAUAUUCGCUUGGUCCCUGACUCUGCCUCUUCGGCCUCAGGCGAGCAUCUCCUGACCGGGCCUCACUGACUCCCCCUGGCUCCUGUGUAUUGGCUCAGACCUUCCUAAGCUCUAGCCCUCACUGCUUCACCCCUUCUAGCUGGCCUUCCUCCUAGUACACUCUCUUCACUGCCUUCACAAUGGCCUCCCGAGGUGUCUUUCCAUUAAAGAAGCUGAUCAUGACGCUCCCCUGCCUAAAGACGGCCGCCCAGAGGAUAAUCUAAAUUCUUUGGCAUGGCACCUAAGACUUUUCACUUCCAGCCUCUUCUUCUUCCCUCCUGCCUUCACUCCACCGCCAUCCCUCCCUGGCAUGCUUUGCUCUAGUCACAUGGAAUCUCUGUUCCCAGAACGAGCUAUUUUUAGCCUUGUACCCCUCCAGGUUAUGUGCAUUCUUCUUCCUUUUAUCUGUCACAAAAUUUCCUCCUUAUCCUUCAAUGCCAGCUGAAAUGAAUCAGCUCAUUCACGAAUUCAUUCACUCAUUUGAUUUUUAGCAUCUAAUAAUUGCAACAAAAAAAAGAAAGAAAGAAAAGAAAAGAAAAGAAAAGAAAAGAAAAAAAGAAAAAGAAGUGUGCUAAGGGAAACCAAACCGACAGGAUCCCUAUUCUCAUGAAGAUAUGGAUUUCUCUUGAAGACUUUCUUGACACUUUUGGCAGUUAAUAAUUUCCUCCCUACCCUCAUAGCAUUCUGUUCAUACCACUAAGAUGGCAGUUAAUAAACCAAAAUGUAAAUAAGUCUGGAUUCCCAACUAGACUAUGAGCUUCUAGGGUUAGCUGCAGAAGGGCUGCAUCAGUGGCUGAAUCUAUGUAUCUCUAUGUGUAAGGAGGCUACUCAACAAAGUGGUUAAGAUCAUGGGUUCUUAGAUAACUACCUGGGUGCCAAUUCUGCCUCUACCAUUCAUAAGCUCUGUAACCUCAGACAACUUAAAAAAAUUUCUCUCUGCUUUGGUUUGUCCUGUUGAAUGAACAUAAUAGUAGUAACCCAUAAGGUUGUAAGGAUUGAAGGAGUUAAUCUAUGAAAAAAUUACUACAGAAUAUGGUAGAUGCUCCAUUUGUUAAUUCCAUUAGGGUGACUAGUAAUAGAAAGCCCCUCCAUAGGAGUUCCCAUUGCGGCUUAGCAGUAGCCAACCUGACUAGUAUCCACGAAGUUGCAGUUUGAUCCCUGGCCCUUCUCAGUGGGUUAAGGAUCUGGCCAUGAGCUGAGGUGUAGGUCGCAUAUGCAGCUCAGAUCUGGCGUUGCGCUGGCUAUGACAGGCUGGCAGCUAUGCAGGAAUUACCAGAUGGUGAACGACAGAAAGACUUCUUGGCUAAAAAGAAGGGCUGAAAGCUGUGGAGAGUCAGGGUGAGGGAUGAGUAUAGCUUCUGUGUGUACUUUUUAUUUCUUUCUCUACUUUUGAAUGGGUGCAAAUGCCUUCAGCUCUCUUGGCCACCUGUCUACCCUUUUCUCACCUUUCUCUUCUCAUCCCCUUUCUCACCUCCCCGAGGGCAUUGAUGGGGGGCCAGAUUGGAGAGGGAGGUACAGACCACUGGAGGAAGAGCAAAGUGAGCUGUCGGAUUAUGUGUACUCUGAGGGGAAGGACACAAUAUUCACUAUCUGUUAUUUUUAUCUAUCUGACGGUGCUAUAUCACCUCAUCACAUACGUGUUUAUGUAUCUUUGCCUUGACCCAGCUCUUGCUCCUCUGCCUAAUUUCCCCUUAUGCCUCAUGACUCUGCCCAGUCAGGGGAGAUCUUCUGUCUCCCCAACAUAUUGUAUUUAAUUGCUGGCUCCUUUUUUUCUGACCCUCCUACUCAAUUCUGCAAUCCUUAAGAGUAUCCCUGUGCCCGGUGCCUUGUAACAGGCCUGUGUGGGACAGGCGUUCAAGAAAUGCUUUUUAAAUGAAUUAAUAACCAUAUAUAUAAAUCGAUGCCACAUAAAGGACAGCAUCUCUUCUUCUNUUUUUUUUUUUUUUGUCUUUUGUCUUUUUAGG
RNAcentral lists this long non-coding RNA (2555 nucleotides) under Sus scrofa (pig). Its description in RNAcentral is "lncRNA (ENSSSCG00045009447.1)". Lineage: Eukaryota; Metazoa; Chordata; Mammalia; Artiodactyla; Suidae. The record is from RNAcentral.